This 253-nucleotide ribosomal RNA is filed under the name uncultured bacterium. RNAcentral's name for it is "partial 16S ribosomal RNA". It matches the Rfam family "Bacterial small subunit ribosomal RNA", at positions 524 to 776 of the family's 1533-position model. The record is from RNAcentral.
UACGGAGGGGGCUAGCGUUGUUCGGAAUUACUGGGCGUAGAGCGCACGUAGGCGGCUUUGUAAGUUAGAGGUGAAAGCCCGGAGCUCAACUCCGGAACUGCCUUUAAGACUGCAUCGCUUGAAUCAUGGAGAGGUCAGUGGAAUUCCGAGUGUAGAGGUGAAAUUCGUAGAUAUUCGGAAGAACACCAGUGGCGAAGGCGACUGACUGGACAUGUAUUGACACUCAUCCGCGAAAGCGUGGGGAGCAAACAGG